CCAAAGGCGGAGGCAUCAACUCCGUCGCCUUCUCCUCCUUAGGAGCUGGGACUGGUGUGGUCGAAGAGCCCGAGGGUUGAGCCGAGACCUCCGAAACUUGAACAGGAACCAUGGCCGAUUCUGCGAGGGGCGCGGCAUCACCAGGGGAUUUGUUUCCUCCAGCCGAGGUCGACAUCGCGGGCGAAGAAAGGAUAGCUGGCACCUCAGGCUGAAUCCGACCCCCUUCCUUCUUGGCACUGCAUCUGGACAGUCUCUCUUUGAAAGCAAGAAACCCGGCGACGAAGGUUGGAGUAGC
RNAcentral lists this long non-coding RNA (295 nucleotides) under Brassica napus (rape). RNAcentral's name for it is "long non-coding RNA (BNAP_LNC009649)". Lineage: Eukaryota; Viridiplantae; Streptophyta; Magnoliopsida; Brassicales; Brassicaceae. The record is from RNAcentral.